RNAcentral lists this non-coding RNA (27 nucleotides) under Rattus norvegicus (Norway rat). The record is from RNAcentral. Lineage: Eukaryota; Metazoa; Chordata; Mammalia; Rodentia; Muridae.
UGUUUUCUCUUUCCCAAGAUCCCCUGC